RNAcentral lists this ribosomal RNA (232 nucleotides) under uncultured bacterium. Its description in RNAcentral is "partial 16S ribosomal RNA". It matches the Rfam family "Bacterial small subunit ribosomal RNA", at positions 118 to 347 of the family's 1533-position model. The record is from RNAcentral.
UGAGUAACCUGCCCUUCACUCUGGGAUAACUCCGGGAAACCGGUGCUAAUACUGGAUACGACCUACUCGGGCAUCCGAUGUGGGUGGAAAGAUUUAUUGGUGAAGAAUGGACUCGCGGCCUAUCAGCUUGUUGGUGGGGUAAUGGCCCACCAAGGCGACGACGGGUAGCCGGCCUGAGAGGGCGACCGGCCACACUGGGACUGAGACACGGCCCAGACUCCUACGGGAGCAG